GGAUGGGGCUUGCGGAGGAAUGGGGAGCACGCGAGGGGGCUGCAAAGGGUUCUGUCUUUGGAUUCCGUUGGAAGCCCCUGGAUGUGCCUGCGUCACGUGGACAGCCAGCUAGCUGCUCAUGGACAGAGUCGUGUCUGGAUUGGACGGCCAGCGCUUUGCUCUGUCUUGCAUUUCCACAUCCCAGGGACACUUUGCAGGCAGUCCUCACCCUCUCACAACCGGUCCUCCCUCUCUGCUCCAUGCCACCAACACUGAGAGGAAGAGACAGCCAAACUCGAACUGAACCAGGAAAAACACCAGCCCCGAGCUCCGGAGACGGCCAGUCCCAGCCCUGAAUUUACGGAGGAGGAAAUGAGAUCCAGAUGGGAGUAACCUGGAAUUCUCAGAGCUGGGAUCCAUUCUGCACAGCCUCGCUGGCUCCUCAGCCCAGACAGGAGGAAUAAACAAAAAUCACCCAGGGGCAGCAUCAUGGUGCUGUCUGUGAUGCCAGCAUGCGAUACGGGCACCAGUUCGAAUCCCGGUUGCUCCACUUCUGAUCCAGCUCCCUGCUAAUGCACCUGAGAAAGCAGCAGAUGAUGGCUCAAGUACCUGGGCCCCUGCAUCCACGUGGGAGACCCAGAUGGAAUUCCAAGCUCCUGGCUUCCGGCCUGGCCCAGCCUUUACUGUUGUGACCACUUGGGAAGUGAACCAGAGGAUGGACUCUCUCUCUCUCUCCCCGCCCCUCUCCCUCCCUUUCAAAUAAAUAAAUAAAUAAAUCUUUAGAAAAAAAAAUGACCUCAUUUAUCUUAUCUGUAAAAUGGGGGUCAUUAUCUAUACUUCCCAAGGAAUUCUAAAGAUCUUUGAAUUCUCCAGGCAUAAAACCCUGCAGGAAUGGGGUUCCCAUCCAUCAUCACACUGUUCCCUCUUUACCUACUUAACCCCUCUUGCAGAUCUCAGCUCACACACACCAGGGUUUUUUGGCCCCUCCCUUCCUGCGUGCCUGUCCCCGGGACUCUCACCACUCUCCUGGUAACAGGCUAAGCCCAGGCUAGCCCAGCCCAGCCCAGCCAGGGACAUUUGCAUUUACACUUGUUGUUCCUCUGCCUGGGGGCCACCAUCCUCUUCCCUCAUCCAGGUGCUUGUGCGAAGAUCACCUUGGAGCACUUGCCCCCCACUCCUUGUCCCUCACCGCCCUGCUGCAUUCUCCCCCCUCCACACUUAGGGUCACCAACAUCCUGUCCUAGAUUUAUUGUCACUUCUCCGGCUCCCCCAGGGUGGAGGGACUUCCUGUUGUUCGCUCUUGCACCCUCCGCUCCCUGGCACUCAACAGCCCUUUGGUGAAGGGAAACGAACAAACACCAGUUUGUGAAGGUAAAGGAGUUUCCGCAGGCCAGCCUUCAGUGUCCCCCCACCCCUUUUAACCUCCCAUGUCUUUAUUUAACUUGUAACAUUUGUGGACUAGGGCUAUAAUAGAUGUAAUCCACACUUGAAGUUUGUCCUCCUUUGUAGGGUAGGUACCACCUGCUUCCAUCCGUGUAUCCAUCGUGUGAGGCUCAAAUCAGGGAAAGCAGAUCCAUCUCAAGUCUUUAUUACCUCUCUGGGUGGAAAUCCGCAACACCCUUUCUUCCAGCUUGUGGGAGUGAAAACACACAGUCCCUGCUCAUUAUCUACAGUCCCCGUGCUGGGCACUGGAACCCCGGAACUCUCUCCGGUGGGAGUGUAACCUGGCCCCCAAGCGUUCCCCUCUCUCCCUACCUGCCUUAGCCUGCCUGCUUGCCUUCCUUCCUUCCUUCCUUCCUUCCUUCCUUCCUUCCUUUCUUUCAGAUUUAUUUUAUUUAUUUGAAAGACAGAGUUACAGAGAGAGGUAGAGACAGAGAGAGAGGUUUUCCAUCUGCUGGUUCACUCCCCAAUUGGCCACGAUGGCCGGAGCUGCGCUGAUCCAAAGCCAGGGGCCAGGAGCUUCUUCCAGGUCUCCCACGUGGGUGCAGGGGCCCAAGGACUUGGGCCAUUUUCUACUGCUUUCCCAGGCCAUAGCAGAGAGCUGGAUCGGAAAAGGAGCAGCCGGGACUAGAGAUAGCGCCCAUAUGAGAUGCUCGCACUUCAGACCAAGGCUUUAACCUGCUGCGCACCACAGUGCCAGCCCCCCAGUCAUCUUUCUAACACGGUCAAAUCUCCCCCGCUCUGUGCUUUCAUGCAUCCAUGGACAAAUGAGGGAGGGAACACACAGAGGAAAGAGGACACGAGGUGUGCAGCUCCAGUGGCCACCCAGUGACAAGGGGGAUGACAAGAGCAGAGAGCCAAAAACAAACAAACAAACAAACAAACAACAAAAACCAGAAACAAAACCCUGGGUUCUAGGUGACACCAUUGAGCCCUGAAAGUAACCUGCCUCUGACUUCUGACUCUCCUAUUUUUGAGCCGCAUUGACUUGGGUCUUCAGUUCCUUGUGGCUAACAUACUCCUAAAAGCUAACUUUGUUCUGCCCAGGAAUACGGAGACUGUCUGGCAGCCAUGGGUCUCAGGCUGCUGUUUGCCCGGCCCCGCCCCCUGGGCUGGGCCUCUUGCUUGCCUCAGUUACAGGAAUUCCCAUUGUGAGGACCUUCUUGGAACGGGCUCCUGCUGAUUUGUCUCUGAGAUCAGCCUGGCCCAUGGCGUGGCUUAGGUCACCGUGAUGGUAGAAGUUGUUCGAAUGCCAUAGCUCCCACGCCCUGCUCUGGCUUUUGCUUUCAAAAGCCUGACUUUGCCAAAGGCGAUUUGCCAGAGGAGAGGGGCGGGGUGAGAGAUUCCCCAAGACUCACUGGAGUCUGCAGCCCCUCUGUUACAAUGCCCCCCGGAGUGGGGGGUGGCAGCCACCACCCCAAUU
Long non-coding RNA from Oryctolagus cuniculus (rabbit), 2842 nucleotides. RefSeq lists it as uncharacterized. The record is from RefSeq and is a predicted model, not a curated record. Lineage: Eukaryota; Metazoa; Chordata; Mammalia; Lagomorpha; Leporidae.